GGAUAGCCCUCACCGACAGCGCCCCUUCCCACCCGGAGAGAGGCAUCGACCCCCAAGGAGGGCUUCGUCAGGCAGCCUCUGCCACUCCUGCAUGGCUGCGACCCGUCGAGCGGAGCGUCGUGGUAGCUGAGACCUGGUGCCCUUCGACGGCCUGGCUGAUCCGGGGCCCAGCUGCAAGGAGGGGAGAGACCAGAGUCCUCCUCUCCAGGCAAAGUUGAACACCAGGCCUGGCAGUGACGGGCAGGAGAAGGGGCCAGGCAGGUACCUGGGACAGGGCUUCCCCUUCACCACUCCCCUACCCUGCUGCCUGUCCCCAGGACCCCUCCUAGACCUUCCUGCUGGGCUGUCUGCACCUUUCGAGCCACACCUGGCGGGCAGUGUGGGCCCAGCGCUUGGGGGGAUGAAAGAUGAAGGUUCGUGACCAUUUUUUAACUCAAUAAAGGGAGAGACAAGCUGC
Molecule: long non-coding RNA, 457 nt
Filed under: Homo sapiens (human)
Lineage: Eukaryota; Metazoa; Chordata; Mammalia; Primates; Hominidae
Description: non-protein coding lnc-MVK-2:1
Source: RNAcentral